Molecule: ribosomal RNA, 510 nt
Filed under: uncultured bacterium
Lineage: Bacteria
Description: bacterial SSU rRNA
Rfam family: Bacterial small subunit ribosomal RNA
Source: RNAcentral
AGAGUUUGAUCAUGGCUCAGAUUGAACGUUGGCGGCAGGCCUAACACAUGCAAGUCGAACGGUAACAGGAAGAAGCUUGCUUCUUUGCUGACGAGUGGCGGACGGGUGAGUAAUGUCUGGGAAACUGCCUGAUGGAGGGGGAUAACUACUGGAAACGGUAGCUAAUACCGCAUAACGUCGCAAGACCAAAAAGGGGGACCUUCGGGCCUCUUGCCAUCGGAUGUGCCCAGAUGGGAUUAGCUAGUAGGUGGGGUAACGGCUCACCUAGGCGACGAUCCCUAGCUGGUCUUAGAGGAUGACCAGCCACACUGGAACUGAGACACGGUCCAGACUCCUACGGGAAACAGCAGUGGGGAAUAUUGCACAAUGGGCGCAAGCCUGAUGCAGCCAUGCCGCGUGUAUGAAGAAGGCCUUCGGGUUGUAAAGUACUUUCAGCGGGGAGGAAGGGAGUAAAGUUAAUACCUUUGCUCAUUGACGUUACCCGCAGAAGAAGCACCGGCUAACUCCGUG